This is a long non-coding RNA of Heterocephalus glaber (naked mole-rat), 1314 nucleotides long. RefSeq lists it as uncharacterized. Lineage: Eukaryota; Metazoa; Chordata; Mammalia; Rodentia; Bathyergidae. The record is from RefSeq and is a predicted model, not a curated record.
UCCUGAUUUUUCUUGUUUAAGACAGUAAGGUAAAUUUAGUUUCUUUAUUGUGUCUAUAAGCACAAGUCCUGUGUUGUGUGUUAUUUUCUCUUACCAAAAGGAUUUUAGAGCUGGAAUAUAAUAAGAACAGAGGAAAUUUACAGGUAAACCUUUUACUUCCACCUUUUUUACUUCCCCAAAAGCCUCCAUUGUGACCCAUGUGCAUUGCAGAACUCCAAGAUGCUUUGAACUUGCAUUUACUGACAAUGGAUUAAAACUAAAAAAGGUAUAUUCAGUCUGUUUAUUGCACACUGGCUGUGUGGCACUCAUCUCUGUAAACAGUCCAUAAUAUAGACAGAUACUUCGGAGGAUCCCUGGAAAUGGUCAUAUUCUUUGGUUUAACCAGUUUGCAUUUGUUUCUGAGCAGCAUGAAGGCCAGCAGCUUCUCCCUGGGCCUCCGUGAGGGUCCUCGCUGGGUAUCUUGUGGAAACAUUCAAUGCCCAGCAUCACUGGUGGCAUCAGAAAUGCCCAGGAAAUGAAGUUCUUGAAAGCUUAUAUCCAAGACCCCCAAGGACAACGCAAAGCGAAUGUGUUCCUUUUGAGGAGGGCAUGUUGAAGCAGCAAGCUACAAGUAUUUUAUUAAAAUCUCACAGAUUAUAUUAAAAACUGGGAAAAAACCCAUGAAUGUAACUGUAUUUUUCAUAUUUUGAAAUCAUAUAUUCUUUGUGUUCAGUGGCUCUAUGUACCACAAUAUUUGGCUUCUUUUUCUAGCACCACACUAUUAAUUUGAAGAGUUAGUCUAUGCAGAACUCCAUUAUGUCAAAAACUCCAUUUUUGUCAACUACAUGUGAGAUAAGACCUUUUUUGUCCUUGAACUCCUGAGCUCAAGUGAUCCUCUUGCCUCAGCCCCCUGACUAACUGCCAUCAUGCCUGAUUGACUGUAUCUGCCCAGCUGGCCUCAUGAAUGGAUGCCUUCUUCAUGGUCAAGUAAUAGAAGUAUGGAGACUGUCUGGCUGCACCACUUCCUGGCUGGGUGACCUUUAGCAAGUUAAUUUGCCUUCCUGUAUCUGCAAGUCCUCAUCUGGAAAAUGAAGAUAACAGUGCUCAUCUCAUAGAACUGCAAUGAGGAUUAAAUGAUAAUCCCAUAAGAUGCUUACAGUAAUGUCUAGUACAUGGUCCCUUGAAGAGCUCUCACAGUGGUGGGCCUUGACUGUUGCCCUAACUGUGCCCCCUGUCAACUAGAAGCAUCUGGAGUGAAUGACGCCCCUGCACCAGUAACAACAGUUGGGUGACACUGUUGGGCAGGGUGGGGGGUGGGGUUGAGACCAGGAGAUA